This is a long non-coding RNA of Oncorhynchus kisutch (coho salmon), 3172 nucleotides long. RefSeq lists it as uncharacterized. The transcript has 3 exons. NCBI's taxonomy places the organism in Eukaryota, Metazoa, Chordata, Actinopteri, Salmoniformes, Salmonidae. The record is from RefSeq and is a predicted model, not a curated record.
UGUUGAUGAUACCAAUGAGGAGCCCUACAUGAAGAGCAAUGGAGUGGACCCUAAGAAAUAACAACCCUCACAGCAGAUGUAGCUCUAGUCUACAGUCUACAUGGUACAUAAAAGUAAAAUAACAAGUAGCCUACAGAACUGAAUGCUGUCUGAUAUUUCAAGAUGUGGAAAGGAAUGCAAGAGGAGGAGGGGAAGAGAGAGGGAGGGAAAAUGGAACAUGUGGCAGAAGUAGAGAUGCAUGAAGUGAGAAGAUGUAUGGCCGUUCCACAUUUAGCUUUCAAGUACUCACCACUAUGCUGCUCCCACUAAAUGAUUUAGUGGCAGAACAACAAUCCAUCAGCUCUGUGGAAGGUUAUUAUAAAUGCAUUACCUCCCCAAGCCUACCAGUUCAAUGGAGUCGUGCAGGGCCUCAUAAAUAUGGGUCAAUAAAGGGACACACACAAAAGACUCAGGAUGAAUGAAAUAGGCUUUAUUGUUUUAGUGUGAACUUUCACCCUACCUGUGCGUAGAAGCUCUCAGAUCUGAGGCGGGUCUUUUCAAAUGAAGAGACACACGAACUGAAGACAGGUCUUCACCUUGAUGGCUACAAAUCGGUCUAGUUUGACCGGCAAACAUCCUAUAACAUAAACCCCAAAAGGGGUAUGUUACAGACAACAGCAGCAGCUCCAUCUCAGUCAUCUGGAAUUGAUGCAGCUGGCUCCAUUGUCUCUCCAGUGUUCAGAGACUGUGCAUUGCCAUGUGAAAAGCAUCUGGAAUUAAUAACAGGCCAGGGCAGGCCAGCACAACAAGAAUAUUUUUUUAUCACAUCUUCAAUCCCCCAUCUGUCCUGCAGAUCCCUCUAAUAUUAUUUCAGCAGAGGAUUGCCCCAGGAGGCCUCCCUCCUCCUUCUUGAGGCAGGAGAAUUCCAUUUCUGGGAAUGAAACCUCAACCAAUCACACCUUGGUGGAGCUGAAUCUACAGAACAACGUCUUGGUUUAUUGUGGGUUUCUUGUUUUGUAGAGUUGGAUGUUUUCUUAAGGCUUAAAGUAGGCCAAUGAUCAAUGUAAAACUGUUGGAAUGUGUUCCGUGCCUCAAAAAACAGUAGUUUUCUUUGAUUGUUAAAUAGGGCUAUACAGAUUUGUGUCCAUUGAGUAAAUUAUAAUGGCUUUUAAAGAAGAGGCAGAACUUUAAAAUUAUGCACUUUAAAUGGUAGGAUGUUUUUGGUAAUCUUUCACAUUCCUAAAGUGACUUAAAUAUUGUUUUUGACUGAAACAAGGAGCUACGGAUAAGCAAUAUGUUUCAAAUGAAUCGCUUGAACCCAUAAAUAUUUGACCAAAUGUCAGAGAACAUAAAUGUCUUGUCGUGAAGAUGUUUGUGCCAUGGCUACUCAAUCUGAAGAGCAAUGGAAAGAGGCAUCUGUUUUGUACCUCUCUGUCAACCCUCUCCAGUCACAAUGCAUUGCUAUGUGAUGAAAGAAAACCUGCAAGUGAAUCACCUCUUCCCCUACACCUUUAGCAUCCCGUUGGUCCCGUUGAAGGAGCAACAGUCAGAAAGAGGUGUCUGCCUAUGUUCAAAACACAGCUCCAACUUUCCUUGACAUUUUUAAAAGCAGCUAGGUGUCACCUUAGUAAACGUCUGCCUUGAGUCAGAGCUUGGUGAUGAUGGUGGUUACUGGUAGGACGGUUUGUUACAGAAUCGACUUUCCUUUGACAUGACAUCUUACAACCUACUUCUUCUCUCUAAAGCAAACAUUAUGUCUGUUCUUUGCUCUCCCCACCUGAUCAAAUAAAGAGAUUGGGAAAAAUGUAGUUAGUUUGUACAUAUUUUUAUGGCCUUGGUUUGAAUUUUCCCUUGUUGUAGGAUACCUACUCCCAAAUGUUGCAUUGUAUGUACUGCAUGAUGACCAUUACUGUAUUACCACUUAUAAGAGACCCUUCAACAUGUAACAUACACAGUCUGAGAUAUUGAAUCUGUUCAUGUUUGUUUUUUUAACCACUCCAAACAAGAAGAAUUAAGCAGAUACCUCAGCAAGACGUCACCUGACCUCAUAAGGAUAAAACAGUGAUCACAAACGUGAGCAGGUAAAUAUAGCUCUGCUGCUGACACAACAGCCUUGUGUUAUUUACUUCCAAUCUCACCAGACGUCAACAUGACAGUGGUUACUAUCAAAUCAUUAGACUGGCAAAUGACCCCACAAAUUGAUUGAAGGACCUUGAAAAAGGUCCAUAAAGAAGCCAAACGAGUCAUGUUUAGGAAGACGCAGGGCUCUCGACCUUCGCCUCUCCCGAGUCCAUACGGGAGUUGCAGCGAUGGGAAAAGACUAACUACCAAUUAGAUACUACGAAAUUGGGAAGGAAAAUGGGUUAAAAAAAACACACAAAAAACAAGAAGAAGCCAAACGAAAACACCUGUGGUGUUACAGGCAACACAAUAUUUUCUUUGCUUUGGUUUUCCGAUGUCAACAUUGUGAACAGAGUGGUGGCACUCUGGUGGGGUUAUGGUGUGGGCAGGCAUAAGCUACAGACGACGAAUACAAUUGCAUUUUAUUGUAGAUGCACAGAGGUACUGUACCGUGAUGAGAUCCUGAGGCCCAUUGUCAUGCCAUUCAUCUGCCGCCAUCGCCUCAUGUUUCAGCAUGAUAAUGCAUGGCCCCAUGUCGCAAGGAUUUGAACACAAUUCCUGGAAACUGAAAAUGGCCCAGUUCUUCCAUGGUCUGCAUACUCAACAGAAAUGUCACCCAUUGAGCAUGUUUGGGAUGCUCUGCAUGUUGCGUUUAUAUUUUUACUCAGUAAAUAAUUACUACGGUCUAAAUAAAAAUAUUCAAAAUACUUCACCAGAGAGCAUGACUUAGCAACACAGGAUCAUUAGCUUGUUUUAAAAAAAAUGCUAUGGAUAGUUUCAAAUCACAAGUGUGUAAGCCUAUGCUUAUUUGGGAAUCACGGAAUUGGGUAACAUGAACGGCAAAAUGUCUAGCUGAUUGAGAUGUGUCUGUCAGUGACAAGCAUCUAAAAUAUGUGUGAAGAUAAUAUGUCUUGAGUAUAAUAUAAAAUGUUGCAACAAGGAGGGGAGGGGUAGGUGGAGAAGACACGUCUCUCUCCAGAAUGCGCUCAGUGGUCUCCUAACAAUUACUGCGCAUUAAUUGUUUCAUUAUGUGAAUUGUUUGCCCUAUGAUUGUUAAUAAAAAAUAAAAAAA